AGUGAACGCUGGCGGUAGGCCUAACACAUGCAAGUCGAACGGCAGCACAGGAGAGCUUGCUCUCUGGGUGGCGAGUGGCGGACGGGUGAGGAAUACAUCGGAAUCUACUCUGUCGUGGGGGAUAACGUAGGGAAACUUACGCUAAUACCGCAUACGACCUACGGGUGAAAGCAGGGGACCUUCGGGCCUCGCGCGAGUGAAUGAGCCGAUGUCGGAUUAGCUAGUUGGCGGGGUAAAGGCCCACCAAGGCGACGAUCCGUAGCUGGUCUGAGAGGAUGAUCAGCCACACUGGAACUGAGAAACGGUCCAGACUCCUACGGGAGGCAGCAGUGGGGAAUAUUGGACAAUGGGCGCAAGCCUGAUCCAGCCAUACCGCGUGGGUGAAGAAGGCCUUCGGGUUGUAAAGCCCUUUUGUUGGGAAAGAAAUCCAGCUGGCUAAUACCCGGUUGGGAUGACGGUACCCAAAGAAUAAGCACCGGCUAACUUCGUGCCAGCCGCCGCAGUAA
RNAcentral lists this ribosomal RNA (506 nucleotides) under uncultured bacterium. RNAcentral describes it as "partial 16S ribosomal RNA". It matches the Rfam family "Bacterial small subunit ribosomal RNA", at positions 29 to 523 of the family's 1533-position model. The record is from RNAcentral.